UAGGGAAUCUUCGGCAAUGGACGGAAGUCUGACCGAGCAACGCCGCGUGAGUGAAGAAGGUUUUCGGAUCGUAAAGCUCUGUUGUUAGAGAAGAACGUUGGUAGGAGUGGAAAAUCUACCAAGUGACGGUAACUAACCAGAAAGGGACGGCUAACUACGUGCCAGCAGCCGCGGUAAUACGUAGGUCCCGAGCGUUGUCCGGAGUUAUUGGGCGUAAAGCGAGUGCAGGCGGUUCUUUAAGUCUGAAGUUAAAGGCAGUGGCUUAACCAUUGUACGCUUUGGAAACUGGAGGACAUGAGUGCAGAAGGGGAGGGUGGAAUUCCAUGUGUAGCGGUGAAAUGCGUAGAUAUAUGGAGGAACACCGGUGGCGAAAGCGGCUCUCUGGUCUAUAACUGACGAUGAGGCAAGAAAGCGUGGGGAGCAAACAGG
This 429-nucleotide ribosomal RNA is filed under the name Bacillota bacterium. Its description in RNAcentral is "Firmicutes bacterium partial 16S ribosomal RNA". It matches the Rfam family "Bacterial small subunit ribosomal RNA", at positions 355 to 776 of the family's 1533-position model. The record is from RNAcentral. Lineage: Bacteria; Bacillati; Bacillota.